UUAGUUAUAUUUUCUUUCCUCUGUAAUUACACUUUUAUGAAAGCAAAGAUACUGUUAGAUUGUUCUCCCAUUUCCUAUAUAUGUUGAAAAUUAUGGACUCCAAAACCAUUUACAAUUUCUCUUGUCUUAUAAAAUGGCUUGUUCAGAACCAUUUAUUUUUAACUAAUAUGUAUGAAAUGACAGCUGCCAAGAUUCAAAAGGCAGUAGUUUUACCAUCGAGCAUAACCUCUGCAUAUUAAUUAAUAGCUAUCUAAGGGGAAAAUGUUUGCUUUAGUACACUAAGGAAUCUUUAAUUCAGCAGUAAUGAUUUAAAGGAUAUUUGCAUUAAUAAUUAAUUGAGAUACACAAGUAACAUAUUAAAAGCACUGGCCUUCUCCAAAAUACUGUAAUUAUUUUAGUUUCUAAAAUCUAGCUAUAAUUACACAAAUUUUAGUUGUGGAAUACAGUUCUUUUUUUGUAUUUAAUGGACACUAGAUUGGCUAAAAUGUGAACCCAAAAGGAGGAAUGAUUUAAAGAAGUAAUAUCAAUUUUAAUUUUGAAGUUUAUAGAAACUGUGGCACACUUAAAAUUGUCCAAUUUUAUAAAAGAAGCUGCAUUUUCAUAUUCUGUUUUUAGGGCUAGGAAGUUAUAAACCAUGUAAAUGCAAAAUAGCUUUGAGAAAGGUGAAAGUCAGUGCUAACUAUUGCUUAUAGGAAAAUUCUUUUUUUUUUGGAAUGGCUAGUAAUUAA
This is a long non-coding RNA of Gavialis gangeticus (Gharial), 728 nucleotides long. RefSeq lists it as uncharacterized. Lineage: Eukaryota; Metazoa; Chordata; Crocodylia; Gavialidae. The transcript has 2 exons. The record is from RefSeq and is a predicted model, not a curated record.